GGGGUUGUGGCUCGGAGGUAGAGUGCUUGCCUAGCAUGCAUGAGGUGCUGGCUGGGUUCGAUCCUCAGCACCACA
RNAcentral lists this transfer RNA (75 nucleotides) under Marmota monax (woodchuck). Its description in RNAcentral is "tRNA.Ala". Lineage: Eukaryota; Metazoa; Chordata; Mammalia; Rodentia; Sciuridae. The record is from RNAcentral.